RNAcentral lists this ribosomal RNA (274 nucleotides) under uncultured bacterium. RNAcentral's name for it is "partial 16S ribosomal RNA". It matches the Rfam family "Bacterial small subunit ribosomal RNA", at positions 523 to 796 of the family's 1533-position model. The record is from RNAcentral.
AUACGGAGGGUGCAAGCGUUAAUCGGAAUUACUGGGCGUAAAGCGUGCGUAGGUGGUUUGUUAAGUUAGAUGUGAAAGCCCCGGGCUCAACCUGGGAACUGCAUUUGAAACUGGCAUACUAGAGUACAGGAGAGGAAAGUGGAAUUUCAGGUGUAGCGGUGAAAUGCGUAGAUAUCUGAAGGAACAUCAAUGGCGAAGGCAGCUUUCUGGACUAAUACUGACACUGAGGUACGAAAGCGUGGGUAGCAAACAGGAUUAGAAACCCUAGUAGUCC